Molecule: ribosomal RNA, 1447 nt
Filed under: metagenome
Description: bacterial SSU rRNA
Rfam family: Bacterial small subunit ribosomal RNA
Source: RNAcentral
AGAGUUUGAUCAUGGCUCAGGAUGGACGCUGGCGGCGUGCCUAACACAUGCAAGUCGAGCGAUUCUCUUCGGAGAAGAGCGGCGGACGGGUGAGUAACGCGUGGGUAACCUGCCCUGUACACACGGAUAACAUACCGAAAGGUAUGCUAAUACGGGAUAACAUAAGAAAUUCGCAUGUUUUUCUUAUCAAAGCUCCGGCGGUACAGGAUGGACCCGCGUCUGAUUAGCUAGUUGGUGAGGUAACGGCUCACCAAGGCGACGAUCAGUAGCCGACCUGAGAGGGUGAUCGGCCACAUUGGAACUGAGACACGGUCCAAACUCCUACGGGAGGCAGCAGUGGGGAAUAUUGCACAAUGGGCGAAAGCCUGAUGCAGCAAUGCCGCGUGAGCGAUGAAGGCCUUCGGGUCGUAAAGCUCUGUCCUCAAGGAAGAUAAUGACGGUACUUGAGGAGGAAGCCCCGGCUAACUACGUGCCAGCAGCCGCGGUAAUACGUAGGGGGCUAGCGUUAUCCGGAUUUACUGGGCGUAAAGGGUGCGUAGGCGGUCUUUUAAGUCAGGAGUGAAAGGCUACGGCUCAACCGUAGUAAGCUCUUGAAACUGGAGGACUUGAGUGCAGGGGAGGAGAGUGGAAUUCCUAGUGUAGCGGUGAAAUGCGUAGAUAUUAGGAGGAACACCAGUAGCGAAGGCAUCUGGCGAAUCCGUAACUGACGCUGAGGCACGAAAGCGUGGGGAUAGAACAGGAUUAGAUACCCUGGUAUUCCACGCCGUAAACGAUGAUGGCUAACCGCCGGCGACACACUGUCGGUGGCCAAGCGAAAGCGAUAAGCCAUCCACCUGGGGAGUACGUCGGCAACGAUGAAACUCAAAGGAAUUGACGGGGGCCCGCACAAGCGGAGGAACAUGUGGUUUAAUUCGAUGAUACGCGAGGAACCUUACCCGGGCUCGAACGGCACCUGGAUCGCCCAGAGAUGGGCGAGUCUUCGGACAGGUGUCGAGGUGCUGCAUGGUUGUCGUCAGCUCGUGCCGUGAGGUGUCGGCUCAAGUGCCAUAACGAGCGCAACCCCUGCCGCCAGUUGCCAUCAGGUGAUGCUGGGCACUCUGGCGGGACUGCCACCGCAAGGUGUGAGGAGGGGGGGGAUGACGUCAAAUCAGCACGGCCCUUACGUCCGGGGCGACACACGUGUUACAAUGGCGGCCACAGAGGGAAGCUACCCCGCGAGGGGAUGCGGAUCUCGAAAAGCCGUCCCAGUUCGGACUGGAGUCUGCAACCCGACUCCACGAAGUUGGAUUCGCUAGUAAUCGCGCAUCAGCCAUGGCGCGGUGAAUACGUUCCCGGGCCUUGUACACACCGCCCGUCAAGCCAUGGAAGCCGCGGGCGCCUGAAGUCCGUGACCGUAAGGAGCGGCCUAGGGCGAAAGUGGUAACUGGGGCUAAGUCGUAACAAGGUA